This 178-nucleotide ribosomal RNA is filed under the name Microbacterium proteolyticum. RNAcentral describes it as "partial 16S ribosomal RNA". It matches the Rfam family "Bacterial small subunit ribosomal RNA", at positions 1311 to 1486 of the family's 1533-position model. Lineage: Bacteria; Bacillati; Actinomycetota; Actinomycetes; Micrococcales; Microbacteriaceae. The record is from RNAcentral.
CUCGACCUCAUGAAGUCGGAGUCGCUAGUAAUCGCAGAUCAGCACCGCUGCGGUGAAUACGUUCCCGGGUCUUGUACACACCGCCCGUCAAGUCAUGAAAGUCGGUAACACCUGAAGCCGGUGGCCCAACCCUUGUGGAGGGAGCCGUCGAAGGUGGGAUCGGUAAUUAGGACUAAGU